AUGACCAUCUUCCACAUGUCAGACGAAUGCGAAAAGCCAGGGGAUUUUUUCAGUUACCCCCUGGUUGCGUUAAUGAACCGCCCAUCAAAGAGACGGGGAUUUAGAUCCAAUUCACACCAUCUUCCCUCCGUGAGAUUUCAUCAGAGUGCCUUCGACAGAGAUCCAUUCCACCAUGGCCGGUCGGUGCAGCUCCUCCUCUCGCCCCUCCAGCGCUCGGCCCGGAGAUUGGGGCGGUGUUCCGUCCCGCAUAGCGAGCUAGUAGUGCUUCAGUCCAAGGGGCUUCUCCCCCCAGCAUAUAUGGUCCCAGUUCGAGCCAGGAUUGCUACCUAUAGCGGCGGAGAGCAGGUGGAGAGCGUCCCCCAUCCCUCUCGAGGAGAGCGGGUAUGCCUAGUCCCUUAUUUAAUGAGAGGACUCGGAUUUCCAAUUCAUCCGUUUCUUCGAGGGUUGCUGGAGUUCUACGGCCUCCAGCUACACAACCUCACGCCCGCCUCCAUUCUGCACAUAGCGGGCUUCAUGGCCCUCUGCGAGCUGUUCUUGGGUGUUGAGGCCCAUUUCGCGUUGUGGAAGAGGUUGGUUUGCCUUGUGCCUCGUUCUCAGGAGGGGUCUAUUUAUCAAGUGGGCGGAGCCGAACUAUGGCGCAUCGCCGGGACCGGAUAUCUAUCCGGCACCCCAAAGAGGGCGUCCGAAGACUGA
This 693-nucleotide ribosomal RNA is filed under the name Triticum aestivum (bread wheat). Its description in RNAcentral is "partial small subunit ribosomal RNA". Lineage: Eukaryota; Viridiplantae; Streptophyta; Magnoliopsida; Poales; Poaceae. The record is from RNAcentral.